UUGUUUGACAGCAGCAAGAAGCUCAUAUGGGUUAGAGGACACAUCGCCGUUGUAUCCAUUGAUGAGUUCAGAUUUGAAUUGGGUCCAACCCAGCUUAGGAUUUCGAAAACGAAGUAGUAACCUAAGCCAAUGAAGAGGUGCUCCUUCCAUAGAACACAUAGAAACAGAGAUUUGGGAAGCUGGUGGGGUGUUAUGGAGUUUGAAAUACUGUUCGGCUUUUGCUAUCCAACCAACAGGGUCUAUGCCAUUGAAGGUAGGCAUAUCCAGUUUUUUGGGUAUGAAGGAUAAGUUCUGAUAUGUAAAAGGUCUGGUGGUGGUGUGGUUUGUAUGGGAGGAUGUUUCUUCUUGGACGUUUGGGUGAGGAUGGGUAGAGCUUUCAGAGAUAAUAGCAUGUGCUUUUCCGGCAAUUAAGGUCUUAAGGAGGCAUUCGAUUUCUGUAUUAUCAGCUAGAAGGUUUUGCAAGGUGGAAAGGGUGUCUUCAAUGGAGGAUAUUUGUGCUUAAAUUGUAGAUACGUUCUUCUCUAAUGUUUCUACUCUGGAUUCUAUCUUUGUUUUUUGAUCCGGCAGGUCAGACCCAUUUGUUAGAGUUAAGAACGCAGCAGAGAUAAAUUAAAGAAGAAGAUAGAAGAAGAAAUAGAGGUUAGAUGAAAUCAGAGAUUGGAACUUCCAUUAAAUGGGAUUUCAGAUUUACAAGCAGGUCUUGAUUGAGGAAUAAGAAAGAUAAUAACAGAAAGGGAAAAUAAAGUAAAAAAGAAAAGUUGCCGGCAACCCCCAAGACCAGCCCGAUACAAAGAGAGACCCCCUGCCAAAAUAACAAACUUUAUAUCUUUUUCCUUCCUCUCUCAUUCCAAUCGCUAGCUAUAUAUAU
This is a non-coding RNA of Jatropha curcas, 868 nucleotides long. NCBI's taxonomy places the organism in Eukaryota, Viridiplantae, Streptophyta, Magnoliopsida, Malpighiales, Euphorbiaceae. The record is from RefSeq and is a predicted model, not a curated record.